GAUGAACGCUGGCGGCGUGCCUAAUACAUGCAAGUCGAGCGAACGGACGAGAAGCUUGCUUCUCUGAUGUUAGCGGCGGACGGGUUAGUAACACGUGGAUAACCUACCUAUAAGACUGGGAUAACUUCGGGAAACCGGAGCUAAUACCGGAUAAUAUUUUGAACCGCAUGGUUCAAUAGUGAAAGACGGUCUUGCUGUCACUUAUAGAUGGAUCCGCGCUGCAUUAGCUAGUUGGUAAGGUAACGGCUUACCAAGGCAACGAUGCAUAGCCGACCUGAGAGGGUGAUAGGACACACUGGAACGGAGAAACGGUCCAGAAUACUACGGGAGGCAGCAGUAGGGAAUCUUCAGCAAAGGGAGAAAGGCUGAAGGAGCAACGACGCGUGAGUGAUGAAGGUAUUCGGAUCGUAAAACUCUGUUAUUAGGGAAGAACAAAUGUGUAAGUAACUGUGCACAUCUUGACGGUACCUAAUCAGAAAGCCACGGCUAACUACGUG
Molecule: ribosomal RNA, 497 nt
Filed under: uncultured bacterium
Lineage: Bacteria
Description: partial 16S ribosomal RNA
Rfam family: Bacterial small subunit ribosomal RNA
Source: RNAcentral